UGAAGUCUGAAGGUAUUAUAGCCAGGUUUAUGUCGCUUUAAAAUGGCAAUUUCAGAUUCAUAUAAGGAUUUCACUAUUUCAGUAAACACCGUGGAGAUUUUAAGAUCUCUUUUGAGAUUGCUGCAAAAUAAACGGACUGUUUGCCUUCAGUACACUAUGGAAUUUGGCCUUUUAUUACGUUUACUUUCACAUUUAUUUGAAGGGGGUGUUCAAAGGUGUUUUCAGAAGCAUUUGCUAUAUUUAAAACUUAGUCAGACUAUCUGGUAAAUGGUUAGGAAAAUGGUCAAGAUAAUUCUCAAUGCCACUACCACGAGCUACCUGAAUAUUUCGUUCGUAACUUUACAGCCAGAAGAGACGAAUAAAGUUGUGUACUGGGUGCCGAUUGGAGUAGUUAUUGCAGCAUUUGCAGUCUUUGGUAUUUAUAUAUUUUUAAUCAGCAUUGGUGUACUUGAACCAGCACACCCAUCUAAAAGCAAAAAAGGUCAAGCUGUCGUAAUAAAGAACCAAGCCCGUGCAGUCUCAUUAAACUUACCACAAGACAUGAUACCCUCCACUUCGUCACAUUUACCAUGAUAACUUAUUGCAUUUGUAUUUUAUAUUUGACCUUUAAAGGAAUGGGGUAAGAUGUGGCGUUUUCAUGCUCUUUUCUCAUCUCAAACAAAAAGUAUUUACAGAUUUUACAACCUUAGCCCAGCAACUUAAAAAGAGCGUUGAUAUUUCUUUAAAACACGACCAGGAAAUAUUAUGUUUAGGUGUUAAUGGUAUCUCAUCACGCCCCACAGUACUAUAUACAUGUUAUGUACAGUAAAGGCUAUAUACAAGCCCCGAAGAGAAAUUGGUUUGUUUUUUUACGUUACACGCGCUUCUGAAUUUAAAUACAAAAAAAGUAUUAUGCUG
This is a non-coding RNA of Ciona intestinalis (vase tunicate), 897 nucleotides long. The record is from RefSeq and is a predicted model, not a curated record. NCBI's taxonomy places the organism in Eukaryota, Metazoa, Chordata, Ascidiacea, Phlebobranchia, Cionidae.